GGGGGGUGGGAAGCUGGUGAAAUAAGGACAUUUAUUGUCCAAGAUUUUCCAAGAAGAUAGCUCACUGGCUGGAGAACUGUGUGGAGGCCCAGGGAUCAGCUGUCCAAUUUGCUGUCUUACCCAUGAGGAAACAGGCCCAGCCUAAGAAAAAGCAGUCCCAGGCCACACAGUGAGCGGACAGUCCAGGCUCUAGCUGUCACACACUGGCGACCUAACUUCCCAGCUGGAGAGCAGCUCCUGCCCGAGGAUCAAGGAUCGAGGACCGGGAAGACACAGACAGGAGGAAGAGUGAAGGUGUUGGUCUCACUUCCUGAAAAUGGAACCGCGAUGGGGCUGACAACCAGUAACAUCAUAUGCAGCAAAGUGUAUCAAGUCAGCAGCAGAGCACUGGCCAAGCCCGCGUGAGGCCCUGGGUUCAGUCCUCAGUACUGAUUAACCGGAGGGGAAAGGCAGGCGGUGGAGCAAAGACAGACGGAAAAGCUGAGACUAGAAAACGAAGGGAAGUCUGUGUGUUGUCUGCUAUUCGGGUCUGGAAGGUUCCUCAAAGGUCAAUGUGUUAAAAGCUUGGUCCCCAGCUAGCUGCUAGUCCUAGCGAUGUUGAGAUAUGGACCUAGAAGUGGUCCUUUGAGCUGCUGGGCUGUCCCUCCAGGGCAGUGUGCAACUCAAGUCUUCCCUUUUUACUUCUGGACCACAAGGGGAAUGGUUUCUCACUACCACAUGCUCCCACCACAAUGAGCUGUCCAUCCCAACAGAGGUCUAAAAGGAAUGCACCCAACCUAGUCAGAGGGCCCAGCCUCAACAGGUGUAGGCUUACAAUUUUUUGAGAUGCUCUUAUACAGUCAGGCCAGCCUUGAACUCCUUACCCUCCUCCACCUCCUCCCAAGUGUAGGGAUCACAGGACUGUACCAUCAUAUUCAACUUUCUGUAACUCGGUUGCACCAGGUAUUUGUUGUUGUGGCAGGAAGCUGACUGACAGCCCCAGCUCCCACGAUGGAAUCUCAGCCGGGACGGCUCAAUGGCUACGAGCAACGUGAAAAGACACCAAGCGAACUGUGGACUUCAAAGACUCAAGAGCGUGAAGACAACGCGCAGAGCAGGUGGAGGUGUUGCUAGCUGCAAAUUACAUGUCUACCAGCGGACUCCACCUGAUAAAGGACUCACGACUCAGAAAAGACAAGAGACAAAUGAUAUGAGUAGAAAUUCCUCCCACAUCCGAAUGGCCAGCCAGUAAGAAUAUGAGCAGGUGUGAAGCAUCCUUAGCCUCCGGGGGAGUGAAGUCGGAGCCAGAGAAGAUGCCCCUUUACACGGGGAAGGUGCAAUUCCAAAAGUUCUAGAAGGGUUGGUGAGGAAGUAGAAGAACUACAGCCCGCUCCUCUAGGAGGGAGGUCUCCUUGGUAUCCGAAUGGCUGUAAGCCCCAGCAAUCCCACAAGAACUGAAAGCACGGGUCUAGGCAGCAGCUUCCUUGUGACAUUGGGUAUAACAGCACAAGAGGUAAGUACCAGAGUCUGAUGGACAGUGAGAACAUGACCUAGUGUCCAGUGAGCAUGCAGGGUGGGGACGCGCAUCCUCACCUCUCUGGGAUCAAUGCCCAGGAAUGAAAUGCUUUAACAGUUUUUAAAAUGACCGCACAACUGGGCAGGAUGAUCCACACCUACACUCCCAGCACCUGGGGAAGGAAGGCAGGAGAAUCAGGAGUUCAAGGUCAGCCUGGGCUACUGCAUAAGGCCCUCCUUCUAAACAAAAACAAAAACAACCAAAAAACAAAGCAAAAACAAAAUUACCAAAAACAAACAAAAAACCCAAAUGCCAAAACAAAUAACAAAACCCAACCACACAGCUUUCCAAAGCCCUCCCGCGUUUUACAUUCUCAGGGGAAGUUGGCAUUUAAGCUGGGAACUUCACAGAUGGGAAGAGGUCAGUCCUGGGUCAACAGGAAGAAGCCUGGCAGGCACCGGAAGCAGCUGGAGUGAGUGCCUGAGAUCCCACAAAGGGGAAAGAAUGACUGCUGGAUCUGAGGGACGACAGAUCUGCACUGUGCGGCGUGUGGGGGUGAACGUGAGGGAUGAGGACCUCGUGGGACAUAAAUGCAAGCCACCCGUUCAAGGCAUCAGCUCAGAGUGGGGCUAACUUGCAUCUGAACCCUGCCUUAGCCUGGAAGACGCUGCGUAAGUGUCUCAACCUCUGAGCCAAGUUCCCUGCGACAAGGGGGUCCGAGGACCGCGCUGGAGAGGGGAAAGGCCCAGGCAGCCCAUCAGACUGGUGUCAAGGCUGCCUCGUGACUCUGCAGCAGCAAAAGCCACCACUGGACUCUAGAGCCAGUCAGGACUCUGAGCAGGACUGUGCACCGAUCGUCCAGGAGUACUUGUCCUGCCGUGACUGGCUGCAACCCAGGCACAGCCACACAGGGCUAGGUGUAGGGAGGAGCAUAGGCUCCCUUGCCCUCUCAGGGGUCCCCACACCAGCAUCAACACCUCAGCAACCCCAAACUCCAGGGCUCCAUCAUUUAAGAAUAUUUUUGGAUCUUCUUUAUGUAGCCAUCACCACUGGUGACAGAGUUCAUCUUCCAGCCCUCUCCAUCACCACGCAGUGUGAGGCAGGAAGUCCCACUCCUCUAGUCCUACCUGGGUCUUUCUGGCGACCAGGCCCUAUCCUAGAACUACUCCGAAGGGCCCCCAGGCUCCUGAGGACCUCAUCCACACGCCGAAGUUCCAAAUACAAGCCAGAGGCCCAGCCGCAGAGCUGAAGUGACCGUCACACACACUCCAGGAACAGGACCCUGCCACCUUCCCUGGCCACUCAGGCAAAGAGAGACUGCCUGGGGAGAACCAGGCAGGGGCCAAGGCAGGGCAGCCACAGCCCCUGGAGGCUCCCGGGGCGCGGGCUCCUGACCUUGCCUCCUCCUCUCUGCCUGUGCCAGGAGACCUCUGCGUGAUGGCAGGUGGGUCACUUGUGUUCUGUGCACCAGAUAAAAGGACAGACAGAACCAGACUCUAGGAUUCUAAAGGACCUGCCAGGGGAGAAAAAGAAAGCCAGCUUCCUCCCACCCUGUUUAAUCUUCCCUCAUCCCUUCUCCCUCCUCCUCCCCUCUCCCCCCCCACCAUACACUCUGUGGUGGAGUCUGAAGGACCCUCUAACAUCCAGGAGUCCCCUCAGCAGCCUGCCCCCAUUCCAGCACCUUGGUUCGAUCGGAUCUGUCAGGAAGUGCCAGAGGUUGCAGGGCAGGAGCAGAAUGGGACUUAAUCUUCCCUGGAAUAUUAAUGGUCCCGUCAGGAGUGCCAGGGACGAGCUGAGCAGCAAUCUGCCUUUAUUAACAAGGCGGUGCCAGCUGGAGCACUGUCCCUUCCCCCACUUGCAGCUGGGUCGCUGUCACUGUCAGCAGUAGCAACGCGGUGGAGGGGCCAGUCCCAGGGCAGGGUAGGUGUGACAGAAGGAGGGCUUGGCGGAAGUCAGGAGCCCCAAGACACUCAGCCCCACCUCGCCAGCUCUGACCUGACCCCUCCACCAUCUGCUACUGGGGCUACAGCCUGUCCCUCUGGGCUGUGCCUGUCACAGGCACCUGCCCUCUCUGUAAUUGUCUGGCCUGAUGCUUCACUGCCCUGGCAACACUAUGGAGUCUCCUAGGGAAUGCCAACCAUCUCGAUGUCCUGCCCACCCAGGACCCCUCGCCUCACCUGCUCCUCCAGGUGCGGUCCUGUCUGUGGGUCAGGUAUGCUUUCACAUAUGAUAUCCUCGAGCUGUGAGUCAACUGCUUCGACCAGGUUUAUAGUGGAAGAAACCCAGGCAGAGGUGGAGUGAGCUGCUCAGACACGCGGAGAGCAGAGCUUUCUUAGACCUGAGGAAGGGACAGUCCUGGGAGAAGACAGGCACCUAUGGCUAGGAACAAACAUCUCAGGAGCCAUGAAGGAAGCAAGCCACAUGGAGGCUGCUGCUCACAGAGCACUCUGUCCUUGCCUGGGGGCUCUCAGGGGCUUUGAUGCCCAGAUUAUUCGUGGGGUAACUGAGUCUGGGCAUACUGAGGUAUUCCAGGCAACUUCUCAGGCCACCAUAGUUAUGAGCUGGAAGGUGAGACCAGAUGUUGAAGAUGUGUUGGAGGAAGGAGUGUCUCCUCACCUCCAAGUCUGGAUGUGAUGUGCACGUGCAUGCGUGUGUGUGCCAGAGGAUGUCAGUCACAAGUGUGCAGAAUAUAUGUAAAAGUACAUGUGUUGUGCAAGGGGUUUGGACGUGUUUGCUUUGAUCCCGUCUGGGCGCCAGCCUGAACCAGCUCCCAGGCCUCUGAGGACAACUGCUUGGUGAGCCGAGUGGACUAAUGAUAUGGCCAUGGACUCUAUGAGUAACACGGGGAGGGCACAUAAUUUAGUCACCUUUACUCCACUGAACUAUUUAAGCCACCAUGGGAAUGAGGUUAUGAAGCUGAGAUUAACCACUGGUGCUGUGGCUGUGAGCAAUACAUUUUUCCUUUUGUUCACCAAAUUGAAUUAAUUGAAGUUGCUCACAAUCAAUUGGUUCUGAUUCCCCUACAGUGAAAUGAGGCAUUUGCUUCGGGACACGUUUCACUCACUGCAAUGAGCCUUCCAGGCCAGAGGAGGCGCAGCAGACUCUCUCCCCCGCCACACGCUGCACCCUGACCCCUAAGGAAGGUCAAUCUGACCUAAACCUUGUAGAUUGAAAUGAGUGACCUGUCCCUGCCACUGUGACGACACCAUCACUGACAGAACAGCAGUGUCCAUUGGUGAGGACAUCCUCUGCCUCAGGCCUGGACUCACUAGCCUAGGCUGAGAGGUGACGACACCUGCCUCAGGUGACAAAAGUCAGCAACACCCACAGUGGAGGAAUCACCCCAAAGCCAUUGUCGCACCCCAGGUGUGUCCUUGACUCUGGCUAGAGCCCUGCAACCCAGCUGCUGUAAGACGUGCUCUCAGACAAUAAACGCAAAACCAUC
Peromyscus maniculatus bairdii (prairie deer mouse) is the source of this 4940-nucleotide non-coding RNA. NCBI's taxonomy places the organism in Eukaryota, Metazoa, Chordata, Mammalia, Rodentia, Cricetidae. The record is from RefSeq and is a predicted model, not a curated record.